GAGUAACUGUUGACAUCGUGACGGUAUCCAACCAGAAAGCCACGGCUAACUACGUGCCAGCAGCCGCGGUAAUACGUAGGUGGCAAGCGUUGUCCGGAUUUAUUGGGCGUAAAGCGAGCGCAGGCGGUUUUUUAGGUCUGAUGUGAAAGCCUUCGGCUUAACCGGAGAAGUGCAUCGGAAACCGGGAGACUUGAGAGCGGAAGAGGACAGUGGAACUCCAUGUGUAGCGGUGAAAUGCGUAGAUAUAUGGAAGAACACCAGUGGCGAAGGCGGCCGUCUGGUCUGCAACUGACGCUGAGGCUCGAAAGCAUGGGUAGCGAACAGGAUUAGAUACCCUGGUAGUCCAUGCCGUAAACGAUGAGUGCUAAGUGUUGGAGGGUUUCCGCCCUUCAGUGCUGCAGCUAACGCAUUAAGCACUCCGCCUGGGGAGUACGACCGCAAGGUUGAAACUCAAAGGAAUUGACGGGGGCCCGCACAAGCGGUGGAGCAUGUGGUUUAAUUCGAUGCUACGCGAAGAACCUUACCAGGUCUUGACAUCUUCUGCUAACCUAAGAGAUUAGGCGUUCCCUUCGGGGACGGAAUGACAGGUGGUGCAUGGUUGUCGUCAGCUCGUGUCGUGAGAUGUUGGGUUAAGUCCCGCAACGAGCGCAACCCUUAUUGUCAGUUGCCAGCAUUUAGUUGGGCACUCUGGCGAGACUGCCGGUGACAAACCGGAGGAAGGUGGGGAUGACGUCAAAUCAUCAUGCCCCUUAUGACCUGGGCUACACACGUGCUACAAUGGACGGUACAACGAGUCGCGAAACCGCGAGGUCAAGCUAAUCUCUGAAAGCCGUUCUCAGUUCGGAUUGCAGGCUGCAACUCGCCUGCAUGAAGUUGGAAUCGCUAGUAAUCGUGGAUCAGCAUGCCACGGUGAAUACGUUCCCGGGCCUUGUACACACCGCCCGUCACACCAUGAGAGUUUGUAACACCCAAAGCCGGUGAGGUAACCUUCGGGAACCAGCCGUCUAAGGUGGGACAGAUGAUUAGGGUGAAGUCGUAACAAGGUAGCCGUAGGAGAACCUGCGGCUGGAUCACCUCCUUUCUAA
RNAcentral lists this ribosomal RNA (1085 nucleotides) under uncultured bacterium. RNAcentral describes it as "bacterial SSU rRNA". It matches the Rfam family "Bacterial small subunit ribosomal RNA", at positions 447 to 1533 of the family's 1533-position model. The record is from RNAcentral.